This 440-nucleotide ribosomal RNA is filed under the name uncultured bacterium. RNAcentral describes it as "partial 16S ribosomal RNA". It matches the Rfam family "Bacterial small subunit ribosomal RNA", at positions 338 to 795 of the family's 1533-position model. The record is from RNAcentral.
CCUACGGGUGGCUGCAGUGGGGAAUAUUGCACAAUGGGGGAAACCCUGAUGCAGCGACGCCGCGUGAGCGAUGAAGUAUUUCGGUAUGUAAAGCUCUAUCAGCAGGGAAGAAGAUGACGGUACCUGACUAAGAAGCCCCGUCUAACUACGUGCCAGCAGCCGCGGGAAUACGGAGGGGGCAAGCGUUAUCCGGAUGUACGGGGCGUAAAGGGAGUGUAGAGGGGGAUUCAAGCCAGAUGUGAAAGUCCGGGGCUCAACCCCGGGACUGCAUGUGGAACCGUGUGGCUGGAGUGUCGGAGAGGCAGGCGGAAUGCGUAGUGUAGCGGUGAAAUGCGUAGAUAUUAGGAAGAACACCGGUGGCGAAGGCAGCCUGCUGGACGAUGACUGACGUUGAGGCUCGAAAGCGUGGGGAGCAAACAGGAUUAGAUACCCGUGUAGUC